UUGUUAUAGCAGCACAUACACUAACACUGGAACUAGACAGAGAAGAUUUGUAAGGGCCUUGAACAAGGAUGACACACAAAUCCAAGAAGUGUUUCAUAUUAAA
Molecule: small nuclear RNA, 103 nt
Organism: Vulpes vulpes (red fox)
Lineage: Eukaryota; Metazoa; Chordata; Mammalia; Carnivora; Canidae
Source: Ensembl